AUCAAAAUAGCUUAAGUUAAAGUAUGAUAUUGAAGAUAUUAUGAUAGAUUUUUAUCUUUUUGAUA
This 65-nucleotide transfer RNA is filed under the name Tetraphleps aterrimus. RNAcentral's name for it is "tRNA-Phe". Lineage: Eukaryota; Metazoa; Arthropoda; Insecta; Hemiptera; Anthocoridae. The record is from RNAcentral.